UUCUUAAUUGACUCGUUUUUACGAACCGUUUGCCUUUUUCUUAUAUAGGUCGGGUUGUGUGUUAAUGGACCACGUCUUCAAAAUGAACUUGAUCGGAUUUCAAAAACUGUUGAUACAUCCACCCGAGAUGGUUUCACACGUCUAUUGCGGGGUAAAUAAAGCUACAUUUUUAAUAAUGGUUUUGUUAUAACUUCUUUGGGUAAUUUUUAAAAACCUCCCCUGAGGUUUGGGUUUGUUGCAAGUAGAUGGCGAGAAUUGGUUUAUUUGUAAAAAACCUCCUACCGUCAGUUAAUUUUAACAUUGACCGUUAGUUGACCGUGCAAAGACAAUAUUACCCUCAACAAUAGUUUAUAAACGAAAAUAACUAAAAAAAAACCAAAAUUAUUGGCGCGAAAAGCACAAACCCUAUUUUUUAACAAUUUUAUCCUUGUCAAUUCCAAAAAUUUACAAUAUCAUAGGUAAAGAUUAUGACUAUUUCAUUUUUAAAUUUUUAAUUUUAUCU
This 502-nucleotide long non-coding RNA is filed under the name Citrus x clementina. RNAcentral's name for it is "Citrus clementina (C. clementina) long non-coding RNA (CCLE_LNC001724)". The record is from RNAcentral. Lineage: Eukaryota; Viridiplantae; Streptophyta; Magnoliopsida; Sapindales; Rutaceae.